Molecule: unclassified non-coding RNA, 264 nt
Filed under: uncultured fungus
Lineage: Eukaryota; Fungi
Description: sequence contains ITS1, 5.8S rRNA gene
Rfam family: 5.8S ribosomal RNA (bases 216-264)
Source: RNAcentral
UUUCCGUAGGUGAACCUGCGGAAGGAUCAUUACUGGGUUCCAAGGCGUCAAGCCUACCACCCGCCCUCUGUCAUAUGCAACGGUAUUGCUUCGGCCGCUGGCCCUCCUCGCUGCGGCGCUCCUCGGGGCGUCCGGCGGGGCGGGGUCACGGUCGGUCUCUCAACUCCAUGUACUGAACGUGUGUGUCUGAUGCAAAAAAACAAAACGAAAAGCAAAACUUUCAACAACGGAUCUCUUGGUUCUGGCAUCGAUGAAGAACGCAGC